RNAcentral lists this ribosomal RNA (541 nucleotides) under uncultured bacterium. RNAcentral describes it as "bacterial SSU rRNA". It matches the Rfam family "Bacterial small subunit ribosomal RNA", at positions 777 to 1314 of the family's 1533-position model. The record is from RNAcentral.
AAUAGAUACCCUGGUAGUCCACGCCGUAAACGAUGAGUGCUAGGUGUUAGGGGUUUCAAUACCCUUGGUGCCGAAGUAAACACAGUAAGCACUCCGCCUGGGGAGUACGGUCGCAAGACUGAAACUCAAAGGAAUUGACGGGGACCCGCACAAGCAGUGGAGUAUGUGGUUUAAUUCGAAGCAACGCGAAGAACCUUACCAGGUCUUGACAUCCCCCUGAAUCCUCUAGAGAUAGAGGCGGCCCUUCGGGGACAGGGGAGACAGGUGGUGCAUGGUUGUCGUCAGCUCGUGUCGUGAGAUGUUGGGUUAAGUCCCGCAACGAGCGCAACCCUUGAUCUUAGUUGCCAGCACCUCGGGGUGGGCACUCUAGGAUGACUGCCGGUGACAAACCGGAGGAAGGCGGGGAUGACGUCAAAUCAUCAUGCCCCUUAUGACCUGGGCUACACACGUACUACAAUGGCCGGUACAACGGGCCGCGAAGCCGCGAGGUGGAGCCAAUCCCAGAAAGCCGGUCUCAGUUCGGAUUGCAGGCUGCAACUCA